RNAcentral lists this unclassified non-coding RNA (254 nucleotides) under Candidatus Giovannonibacteria bacterium. RNAcentral describes it as "contains 16S-23S intergenic spacer region". It matches the Rfam family "Bacterial small subunit ribosomal RNA", at positions 524 to 776 of the family's 1533-position model. The record is from RNAcentral. Lineage: Bacteria; Candidatus Giovannoniibacteriota.
UACGAGGGGCUCAAGCGUUAUCCGGAUUUACUGGGCGUAAAGGGUGUGUAGGGGGUCUUGUUAGUCCGCUGUUAAAGACUCACGCUCAACGUGAGAAAUGCGGUGGAAACGGCAAGGCUUGGAGGAUGCCAGAGGCAAACGGAACUCUAAGUGUAGGGGUGAAAUCCGUUGAUAUUUAGGGGAACACCAAAGGCGAAGGCAGUUUGCUGGGGCAUUCCUGACCCUGAAACACGAAAGCGUGGGGAUCAAAAAGG